Stomoxys calcitrans (stable fly) is the source of this 388-nucleotide long non-coding RNA. RefSeq lists it as uncharacterized. Lineage: Eukaryota; Metazoa; Arthropoda; Insecta; Diptera; Muscidae. The transcript is spliced from 2 exons. The record is from RefSeq and is a predicted model, not a curated record.
UUCUAGCUUUCCCGACGGUUGUCAGACACACUAGUCGAACGCAAUUGAGACACAAGGACACACACAAACUGGGCGUUAUUUGUAUGGAAUGUGGCUUACAAAGCUCUUGGCCAGACAACGCACAAGGCAAUACACUCGGCACAAGCUUCAAUAAAAUCACGGCUUUAACGAACGCACAAUACAAUGCAGCUGCCACAAGAAGUAUCACCGUUCCCAGACCGAUGGCCUGAUGAUAGUUGGGGAAAGUUUUGCCACAAGCUUUUUUCGCAAUAAAAUAUCGCACUGGCCCCCUUCGUAGCUAUGAUGGCAGGUGCUAUUCUUCACAGGAAUCACUUUCUAUGCACAAAAGAUCGACUAUAAAAAUAAAUUUGAUUUUACUGUCUUUUAA